This 120-nucleotide ribosomal RNA is filed under the name uncultured bacterium. RNAcentral describes it as "partial 16S ribosomal RNA". It matches the Rfam family "Bacterial small subunit ribosomal RNA", at positions 354 to 469 of the family's 1533-position model. The record is from RNAcentral.
UAGGGGAAUUUUGGACAAUGGGCGCAAGCCUGAUCCAGCCAUGCCGCGUGCAGGAUGAAGGCCUUCGGGUUGUAAACUGCUUUUGUACGGAACGAAAAGCCUCUUUCUAAUAAAGAGGGU